RNAcentral lists this ribosomal RNA (458 nucleotides) under uncultured bacterium. RNAcentral describes it as "bacterial SSU rRNA". It matches the Rfam family "Bacterial small subunit ribosomal RNA", at positions 1 to 507 of the family's 1533-position model. The record is from RNAcentral.
ACGUCUACGAGUUUGAUCAUGGCUCAGAACGAACGCUGGCGGCAGGCCUAACACAUGCAAGUCGAGCGCCCCGCAAGGGGAGCGGCGGACGGGUGAGUAACGCGUGGGAACGUACCCUUUGCUACGGAAUAGCCUCGGGAAACUGGGAGUAAUACCGUAUGUGCCCUUCGGGGGAAAGAUUUAUCGGCAAAGGAUCGGCCCGCGUUGGAUUAGGUAGUUGGUGGGGUAAUGGCCUACCAAGCCGACGAUCCAUAGCUGGUUUGAGAGGAUGAUCAGCCACACUGGGACUGAGACACGGCCCAGACUCCUACGGGAGGCAGCAGUGGGGAAUCUUAGACAAUGGGCGCAAGCCUGAUCUAGCCAUGCCGCGUGAGCGAUGAAGGCCUUAGGGUUGUAAAGCUCUUUCAGUGGGGAAGAUAAUGACUGUACCCACAGAAGAAGCCCCGGCUAACUCCGUG